GCUGUGAUGGCCGAGUGGUAAAGGCGUUGGACUCGAAAUCCAAUGGGGUCUUCCCGCGCCGGGAUCGAACCCUGCUCGCAGCG
Molecule: transfer RNA, 83 nt
Filed under: Saccoglossus kowalevskii
Lineage: Eukaryota; Metazoa; Hemichordata; Enteropneusta; Harrimaniidae
Description: tRNA-Ser
Rfam family: tRNA
About the family: Transfer RNA (tRNA) molecules are approximately 80 nucleotides in length. Their secondary structure includes four short double-helical elements and three loops (D, anti-codon, and T loops).
Source: RNAcentral